UGUCUGAGGAGCUGAGACACCUGGGUUUUUAAAGACUCCUUUGAUUGCCAGCUAAGAGGAAUGUGACACAUUCAUUUCCCAUGGGAGAAGGAAAUUCACCGGAUGUCAGUGCUGCUGGUUAGCAAGAAAAGGUAACCGUGGCCAGGGGAAAACAUGGAUAUGUUGAAAUGGUCACAGACAUGUGAUUUCUCCUACAUUUCUGCUGGGAAUCCUGUACUUCACACCAUUUUCCUGGCAUAGCUGCCUGUUCCAGUCAUGGAGGAGGUGGACAGUGCCUGAACAGUCUUGGCAAAACUACCUGGUGGACACUGGAAAAAUAACUAACGGGCACUGCCGCAGGGACAUUCCAUAACCUGUUGAAUUUCUGUCUUCCUGAUGGAAAGGUAGCUGUGCUGUACUUCCCUACAGGCUAGACACUGUUACAAAACCACAUGAUUUUAUAAAUAAAAAAUCUCAGUAAAAACAGAUUCAUGGCUAGCAGUUAUGAACGGUCUGAAAAGAGACAGUAUGCUGAUAAAUUGGGAGCUUCCUACCACUGUGAUCCCCCUGUAACAGUGUAACGGUCUACCUACAUAUGACUAAAGAGAAAGAAGGAUUUAUACCAGCUUGAUUUUAAAUAUGUUCCUAUGUUUAUUGUAUUUUGCUACUCCUCUCCCCUAAAAUGGUGGCCUCGGGAAAAGCUGCUUUGGCAGGCAAUUGCAAAGAUUCCUGUGGAGAGGAAGUGAAAAGACUGGGCAUACAAACAAGGGCUGCUGCCAUGUUCAAAGCACUGGGGAGAGUUCAUAGAGCAAAAUGCAGUCCUAAGUAAAUGGGUUUCAGGCAAUUUCAGUGUUAAGAUAACAUCAUUAAGAGUAGAACAGAUUGUGCUCAAACCCUGCUGUUUAUAAUUAACACAUUGCUUCCAAAUACUCCAGGGUCCCUGGUAAAUAGUCCUCCGCUCAGAUCCACCUAGACCAAUCAGAGUUAUUUUCAUCCGAUUCCAUGCUGGGCCAGCACCUGUCUGGACAAAUCCAAAAGAGCCAAAAUACUCUUCUUUCUGGCCAGCUAAGUAGAGAGAUGAACACAGCUUGCCUUAGUCAUUGUCACAGUGUCCAUAUGGCUGUGAAGCUUGUUUUCACAAGAAAUCGUACAAGUACUUUAUUAUGUCGAAGUUCACGGUCCUAUAAGCAAAAACACAGUAUAUCAGAACAAUCAUCUUAACAGCGCUAAGACUUUAACCUGUUUGGAGACAACACACGUGGGAGACUCUGCACAAUCAAAAUCAAGCAAUACCUCCUCCCCUCCAAACGCAAUUGAGCACGAAUGAUAACUUCUAAUUUCUAAUGUUAUUUACAGUAUCUAUCUUUUGAGUAUUUAAACUCUGUAAGAUUUUUC
This is a non-coding RNA of Struthio camelus australis, 1374 nucleotides long. The record is from RefSeq and is a predicted model, not a curated record. NCBI's taxonomy places the organism in Eukaryota, Metazoa, Chordata, Aves, Struthioniformes, Struthionidae.